GAGCUCACUUUGGCAGCAUGUAUACUAAAACUGGAACAAUACAGGGAAGAUUAGCAUGGCCCGUGUGCAAGGAUGACCCACAAAUUUGUAAAGAGUUUCAUAACAAA
RNAcentral lists this small nuclear RNA (107 nucleotides) under Mustela putorius furo (domestic ferret). Lineage: Eukaryota; Metazoa; Chordata; Mammalia; Carnivora; Mustelidae. The record is from RNAcentral.